UGAAGCUGGAAUUGCUAGUAAUCACAGGUCAGCAUACUGUGGUGAAUACGUUCCCGGGCCUUGUACACACCGCCCGUCACACCAUGAGAGUUGAGAAUACCCGAAGCCCAUGUCAAAGUGGUCGAAGGUAGGCUUGAUGAUUGGGGUGAAGUCGUAACAAGGUAGC
This 166-nucleotide ribosomal RNA is filed under the name uncultured bacterium. RNAcentral describes it as "partial 16S ribosomal RNA". It matches the Rfam family "Bacterial small subunit ribosomal RNA", at positions 1321 to 1500 of the family's 1533-position model. The record is from RNAcentral.